This 198-nucleotide ribosomal RNA is filed under the name Triticum aestivum (bread wheat). RNAcentral's name for it is "partial small subunit ribosomal RNA". Lineage: Eukaryota; Viridiplantae; Streptophyta; Magnoliopsida; Poales; Poaceae. The record is from RNAcentral.
AUGACUCGAUGCACUGACUGCCCACGGACUGCGCCACUGAAGCAGUUGACUUCGAAGGAGGAGAAGAAUGGGAACUUUGGGCGCGAGUUCGUCAAAUGUGAGAGCAAGCUGGAGGGGCAGAUCGUGAAGAAAUGCCACCAUUUCGAGUGGUUGGAUGAUUACAUCCAGAUGCUUCAAGGGUUGGGCUUGCUGGAUUAG